AGUUUGAUCCUGGCUCAGGACGAACGCUGGCGGCGUGCUUAGCACAUGCAAGUCGAGCGAUGAAACUACUUCGGUAGUGAAUUAGCGGCGAACGGGUGAGGAACACGUGAGGAAUCUGCCUUCAACACUGGGAUAACUCCGGGAAACCGGGGCUAAUACCGGAUACGAGCCUUGAUCGCAUGAUCGAGGCUGGAAAGUUUUUCGGUUGAAGAUGACCUCGCGGCCUAUCAGCUUGUUGGUGAGGUAAUGGCUCACCAAGGCGACGACGGGUAGCCGGCCUGAGAGGGCGACCGGCCACACUGGGACUGAGACACGGCCCAGACUCCUACGGGAGGCAGCAGUGGGGAAUAUUGGGCAAUGGAGGAAACUCUGACCCAGCGACGCCGCGUGCGGGAUGAAGGCCUUCGGGUUGUAAACCGCUUUCAGUAGGGAAGAAGCGAAAGUGACGGUACCUACAGAAGAGGCACCGGCUAACUAUGUGCCAGCAGCCGCGGUAAUACAUAGGGCGCAAGCGUUGUCCGGAAUUAUUGGGCGUAAAGAGCUCGUAGGUGGUUUGAUACGUCGGGUGUGAAAUUCAGGGGCUCAACCCCUGACCUGCAUUCGAUACGGUCAAGCUAGAGUUUGGUAGGGGAGACUGGAAUUCCUGGUGUAGCGGUGGAAUGCGCAGAUAUCAGAGGAACACCGAUGGCGAAAGCAGGUCUCUGGGCCAAUACUGACACUGAGGAGCGAAAGCGUGGGGAGCGACAGGAUUAGAUACCCUGGUAGUCCACGCCGUAA
RNAcentral lists this ribosomal RNA (777 nucleotides) under uncultured bacterium. RNAcentral describes it as "bacterial SSU rRNA". It matches the Rfam family "Bacterial small subunit ribosomal RNA", at positions 10 to 805 of the family's 1533-position model. The record is from RNAcentral.